AAGUCGUAACAAGGUUUCCGUAGGUGAACCUGCGGAAGGAUCAUUAUCGAGAGAGGGGCUUCGCGCUCCCGGGGGUUUCGGCCCCCCAAUCUUCACCCAUUGUCAAUUUACCCUUGUUGCUUUGGCGGAUCCGGGUAUUCUUGGUAAGUUUGUCAUAAACCCGUGCGAGAUGUGCCCCGGCGCCCGCCGGAGGGCCCCAAUUAAAAUCUGUUUAUCAGUGUGUCCGAGUAAAAACCAAUAAUAAAA
This 246-nucleotide unclassified non-coding RNA is filed under the name plant metagenome. RNAcentral describes it as "partial contains small subunit ribosomal RNA and internal transcribed spacer 1". The stretch from base 1 to 46 matches the Rfam family "Eukaryotic small subunit ribosomal RNA", at positions 1786 to 1831 of the family's 1831-position model. The record is from RNAcentral.